GUGGCCAUAGCUCAACUGGCGGAGCAUCGGGUCGUGGGCCCGAGGGUUGUGGGUUCGAGCCCCACUGGCCACCCCU
Molecule: transfer RNA, 76 nt
Filed under: uncultured Gemmatimonadota bacterium
Lineage: Bacteria; Pseudomonadati; Gemmatimonadota
Description: uncultured Gemmatimonadetes bacterium tRNA-His-GTG
Rfam family: tRNA
About the family: Transfer RNA (tRNA) molecules are approximately 80 nucleotides in length.
Source: RNAcentral